GACGAACGCUGGCGGCGUGCUUAACACAUGCAAGUCGAACGGAAAGGCCCUGCUUUUGUGGGGUGCUCGGGUGGCGAACGGAUGGGUAACACGAGAGUAACGUACCCUUCACUCUGGGAUAACUUCAGCAAACUAGGGCUAAUACCGUAUAGGAGCUCCUGCUGCUUUGGCGGGGUUGGUAAGUGUCAGCGGUUGGGUAUGGAGUCGCUGCGUAUCAGGUUGUUGGUGGGGUUGUGGCUUACCAAGGCUUUGACGGGUAGCCGGCCUGAGCGGGUGAGCGGCCAGAUUGGGACUGAGAUAGGGCGCAGACGCCUAGGGGAGGGAGCAGUGGGGGAUAUUGUGAUACGGGCGGAAGCCUGAUGCAGCAGCGCCGCGCGCGGGGUGAACGCCUUCGGGUUGUAAACCGCUUCCGCCUGUGAUGUAGCGGGAGUGACGGUAAUGGGUAAAGAAGCACCGGCUAACUACGUG
RNAcentral lists this ribosomal RNA (468 nucleotides) under uncultured bacterium. RNAcentral's name for it is "partial 16S ribosomal RNA". It matches the Rfam family "Bacterial small subunit ribosomal RNA", at positions 28 to 507 of the family's 1533-position model. The record is from RNAcentral.